Lemur catta (Ring-tailed lemur) is the source of this 423-nucleotide long non-coding RNA. RefSeq lists it as uncharacterized. The transcript is spliced from 3 exons. Lineage: Eukaryota; Metazoa; Chordata; Mammalia; Primates; Lemuridae. The record is from RefSeq and is a predicted model, not a curated record.
GCCGCGCGCGGGCAAUCUCUUUGCGCGUGCGCUUGGCCGGCGGGCGGGAAGAAGCGUCGGGAAAGAGCAAUGGGGAAAGGAAAGGCGGUGAUGGGGACCGUGUGGGUUCAAACGGCUCUCGAGGCCUCGGUUUAACAUCACCUUCAGGACAGCCAGGGCCGCCCGCCCCCAAGUCUCCGGUUCCUGCGACUCCGAGGGAACUCGCCCCCAACACUCUGCUGACGAACUCGAGUCUCAGAGGCAGCCCAUUGUGAGGCCCCAGAACGGUGUCCCUACCCGAGUCUCUCUUCUCUCACCAGAUCGCUUCAUGGUCCAAGAGGGCUGCUGGAGUUCCAGCCAUAUUGCAGGCAGCAGUAGGAAGGAGAAAGGAUUUGCUCACUGUCUUUCAGAAACUAAUCAGAUGAUUCAGAAGGCUUUUGGAGA